RNAcentral lists this ribosomal RNA (497 nucleotides) under uncultured bacterium. RNAcentral's name for it is "partial 16S ribosomal RNA". It matches the Rfam family "Bacterial small subunit ribosomal RNA", at positions 28 to 507 of the family's 1533-position model. The record is from RNAcentral.
GACGAACGCUGGCGGCGUGCCUAAUACAUGCAAGUAGAACGCUGAAGAGAGGAGCUUACUCUUCUUGGAUGAGUUGCGAACGGGUGAGUAACGCGUAGGUAACCUGCCUUGUAGCGGGGGAUAACUAUUGGAAACGAUAGCUAAUACCGCAUAACAAUGGAUGACACAUGUCAUUUAUUUGAAAGGGGCAAUUGCUCCACUACAAGAUGGACCUGCGUUGUAUUAGCUAGUAGGUGAGGUAAUGGCUCACCUAGGCGACGAUACAUAGCCGACCUGAGAGGGUGAUCGGCCACACUGGGACUGAGACACGGCCCAGACUCCUACGGGAGGCAGCAGUAGGGAAUCUUCGGCAAUGGGGGCAACCCUGACCGAGCAACGCCGCGUGAGUGAAGAAGGUUUUCGGAUCGUAAAGCUCUGUUGUAAGUCAAGAACGGGUGUGGGAGUGGAAAGUUCACACUGUGACGGUAGCUUACCAGAAAGGGACGGCUAACUACGUG